This 922-nucleotide long non-coding RNA is filed under the name Coffea arabica (coffee). RNAcentral describes it as "long non-coding RNA (CARA_LNC001686)". The record is from RNAcentral. Lineage: Eukaryota; Viridiplantae; Streptophyta; Magnoliopsida; Gentianales; Rubiaceae.
AGGACCCACACGGUGCCUUAAGUUGUUGGCAGAAGGGAUGCGGAUAUCAGUCACCACAAAUGAACUGGGGCAACCCGUUGGCCCUGAGGCUUCAAAAUUGGUUAGCUUUCUGGGCACUCUUGCAAGGAAUGGAAAUUUGGCACCUCUUACAUACGUUGACUGGAGGGCUGUGCCUGAAGAGAGCAAGGAGAAUAUGUGGGAGGAAGUUUCAGGUAACAGGAACUGUUUCUCUCUUCCUUUGCUCUUUCAAAAACAUUAACUGUUCUCAAUCAUAUGAUGCAGAAGAAGUUUGAAAUUGACCCAAAUAGUAAAAGUUGGGUUAUUAAAUCCCUUGGCAAAAAGUGGAAAGACUGGAAAUCCAAGUUGAAGACGGCACAUUACAUCACUCAUGCAACUGAUGAGGAGAGGCUAGCUGACCGUGAUGAGAGAGUCCUUCCAGAACAAUGGGCCUACCUUGUUUCACAUUGGAGUUCCGAGGAAGCAGAGGUAUCUAGCUAGCAUGAUUUCAUGUGAUUUUUAUCUUGUGGAAGUCACCGUGGGCUGUUCUUUUUUCCUUCUUCUCAUAACUCAUCGACUUCACAUUGUGGAUAUCUGAAAUUUGUCUCUCAUGAUAGAAACGGAGUGCUACAAAUAGGGCUAAUCGUGCACAGCAGAAGUUUGGGCACGUUACAGGAACCAAGAGCUUUGCACGGAUACGUGAAGAGCAGGUAAAUACGCUCUCUUUGAUACUAAAUUGCGGAAAGUUUGGCCCAUGGUGUUUCAUUGGAGUCAAUAGGAAAUGGUCACAAGAAUGAUCCUAACGACUGGUGUCUGGAAAAACAGCGUGUUAAGAGAUCUGAUGGGAAGGCUCCAUCUCGGGCAGAGCUAUUCAUCUUGACUCGCACGCGCAAAGAUGGAAAGCCUGUAAAUGAAGCAUCCUCUG